CGAGCGAGCUUGCCUAGAUGAUUUUAGUGCUUGCACUAAAUGAAACUAGAUACAAGCGAGCGGCGGACGGGUGAGUAACACGUGGGUAACCUGCCCAAGAGACUGGGAUAACACCUGGAAACAGAUGCUAAUACCGGAUAACAACACUAGACGCAUGUCUAGAGUUUGAAAGAUGGUUCUGCUAUCGCUCUUGGAUGGACCUGCGGUGCAUUAGCUAGUUGGUAAGGUAACGGCUUACCAAGGCAAUGAUGCAUAGCCGAGUUGAGAGACUGAUCGGCCACAUUGGGACUGAGACACGGCCCAAACUCCUACGGGAGGCAGCAGUAGGGAAUCUUCCACAAUGGACGAAAGUCUGAUGGAGCAACGCCGCGUGAGUGAAGAAGGGUUUCGGCUCGUAAAGCUCUGUUGGUAGUGAAGAAAGAUAGAGGUAGUAACUGGCCUUUAUUUGACGGUAAUUACUUAGAAAGUCACGGCUAACUACGUGCCAGCAGCCGCGGUAAUACGUAGGUGGCAAGCGUUGUCCGGAUUUAUUGGGCGUAAAGCGAGUGCAGGCGGUUCAAUAAGUCUGAUGUGAAAGCCUUCGGCUCAACCGGAGAAUUGCAUCAGAAACUGUUGAACUUGAGUGCAGAAGAGGAGAGUGGAACUCCAUGUGUAGCGGUGGAAUGCGUAGAUAUAUGGAAGAACACCAGUGGCGAAGGCGGCUCUCUGGUCUGCAACUGACGCUGAGGCUCGAAAGCAUGGGUAGCGAACAGGAUUAGAUACCCUGGUAGUCCAUGCC
This 778-nucleotide ribosomal RNA is filed under the name uncultured bacterium. Its description in RNAcentral is "bacterial SSU rRNA". It matches the Rfam family "Bacterial small subunit ribosomal RNA", at positions 50 to 801 of the family's 1533-position model. The record is from RNAcentral.